RNAcentral lists this ribosomal RNA (407 nucleotides) under uncultured microorganism. RNAcentral's name for it is "bacterial SSU rRNA". It matches the Rfam family "Bacterial small subunit ribosomal RNA", at positions 509 to 917 of the family's 1533-position model. The record is from RNAcentral.
CAGCAGCCGCGGUAAUACGUAGGGGGCGAGCGUUACCCGGAUUCACUGGGCGUAAAGGGGGUGUAGGCGGCUCGGUAAGUCGGGUGUGAAAUCCCACGGCUCAACCGUGGAAUUGCGCCCGAAACUGCCGAGCUUGGGGCCGGUAGAGGGAGACGGAACUGCCGGUGUAGGGGUGAAAUCCGUAGAUAUCGGGAGGAACACCAGUGGCGAAGGCGGCCUCCUGGCCCGCUCCUGACGCUGAGACCCGAAAGCGUGGGGAGCAAACCGGAUUAGAUACCCGGGUAGUCCACGCCGUAAACGGUGGGCACUAGGUGUGGGGGGUUAAUCCCUCCGUGCCGAAGCUAACGCAUUAAGUGCCCCGCCUGGGGAGUACGGCCGCAAGGUUGAAACUUAAAGGAAUUGGCGGG